Misgurnus anguillicaudatus (oriental weatherfish) is the source of this 1627-nucleotide non-coding RNA. NCBI's taxonomy places the organism in Eukaryota, Metazoa, Chordata, Actinopteri, Cypriniformes, Cobitidae. The record is from RefSeq and is a predicted model, not a curated record.
UAUUUCUGAAUGGCCGUGUUUCCCUACCUCAUGUCCCCGUGAGAGGAGAGAUAUCUGUAUUCUGGCUGUGCAAAAAAGUCCUCCGAUGACGCAAAAUGAUGAUUUUUGCGUCAUCGGAGGAGAUUUUGGCCAGAGGCAAAGACUACAGCCAGUAUUAGGAGCUACUUCCGCAUGUUUUUUUCCCCGCCCAUAGGGGUUGGACUGCGAGUCCAUUCGGAAAAGCCCGAAUCAAAACGAGAGUCAGCCAUCUUUAAUCUUCGCUAAGCUAAGCUAGCCUGGAUCUUGCUUUGUGGAGAAAGCAGAGUAAACAAACCACGACGGCAGAGUGUAGUUUUGAAAACGGAUGGCAGAAGGGGAUUUUGUUGCUCAGGAUGACCUGUUGCUCGAAUCUGAUGGUCGUGGUACCUGUACGAGCCGCAAUACAACGAGGAACAGUUAUGGAUGAUCGAGGAACAAGAGGCUGCCACCGCGGCUGCUGUAGCCGAGGUGGUGCCGGUCUGGUGGUGUGAGCGCUCUCGCUGUGCGCCUAUAGACACCGAAAGAGAAUCAUAAUGCUUUCGCGAAUUUCAGCGAUGGCAUUUUCUUCUUGAACCCCGCAAGGAGAAACGGAGGCAUGAGUAUAAAACAAUCGACUUACAUCCUAUCAUCAUUUCUUGGAAUGAGUUUUGCAAGGCGAAAGACUGGGGAAAGGAAAUCGACUUGUUUUACCUGCCUGUGUUCGUUGUCCAGGACAUCAGACGUAGAUAUCCAGCUCCUCACGGACAUUAUAGCGACUAUAAAUAAACGGAUGAAGCUCUGGAUGAGCUAUAAGUGUGAAUUGUUUAUGUUUUUUAAUAAAAAGUUAAAACUCACAUUGAUUGUGGUUCGUGUUAUAGUCCUUAUUGCUGCUACAUUAGAGUGACUGCAAUUUGAGGAAAGCAUUCUUGCCUUUUUUUAAAAGUUUAAGUCUAAAUUGUGUAACAAACAUAAUAUUUGGCUUUAUUUUUAACCCAAAUGACUUUGUAAAGUAAGUAAUGACAGCUAAAUCACAGUAACAGUAAUCAUUGCGCCUCUACAAGUCUAUAAUGUAUAAAUUUGGUGUACAAAAGACAGGGUUAGAUGAAGAUAUUUAUUUUUUAUUAUUCACAAAGGAAAAAUAUUGUGUCACCAGUGAAAAGAACACAUUAAAAUAAACAAUGACAUAAUUUACAUCUAAAAAUGUCCUGCACAAAAUAAAAACAAAGCAAAAAUAUAUACAAAAACAUUGUGUAUAUAUACACACAGUAUAUAAUAAUAUAAAUAUAAAGAGUGGUGGCAGAAUCUGAUUAGACACAGCAAUAGGACUCAGGGAAGAGGUGAUUAUUAUUAUUAUUAGAAAGUGUCAGUCUCAGAAGCGACUUUUGAAAGAAGUCGUGGCAGCCUCCUUUGAUGGUUUAGGCACUGGUGCAAUGUUGGGUGGCAGCGCAGGCUGUGGCAGGGCAAGUGAGGACGUUGGCACUUUGAACACAAUGUUUGGAUUGAGUCUUGUCAAUGGCCUUCUGGAUGAGUUCGUCUACAAACUGUGUGGUGUGUGGUAUGAAGCUUUUCUUCAAGACCCACUGCUUGGAUCUCUUGCAGAACAUUUGGUUGAACCGUGCUUCUCCUGUAA